GUUCUCGACCUGAGAUCAGACGAGACUACCCGCUGAACUUAAGCAUAUCACUAAGCGG
RNAcentral lists this ribosomal RNA (58 nucleotides) under Platynereis dumerilii (Dumeril's clam worm). RNAcentral describes it as "partial 28S ribosomal RNA". The record is from RNAcentral. Lineage: Eukaryota; Metazoa; Annelida; Polychaeta; Phyllodocida; Nereididae.